Molecule: long non-coding RNA, 535 nt
Organism: Oryzias melastigma (Indian medaka)
Lineage: Eukaryota; Metazoa; Chordata; Actinopteri; Beloniformes; Adrianichthyidae
Exons: 2
Source: RefSeq, a predicted model, not a curated record
UUUGGAAAGGUUUAAUCUGGAUUUUAACUCUGUUAAUGUUUUAUUCACAUGAUUUCUUUGAACUAAAAGAGGAAAAGUAUUCUUGUUCUCACCAUUAUCUGUGGUGCAUAAAUCUGUCAUGGUGUUAAUACUCAAACUUUCACUUUAACUUCUGUUUUUUUCUUUCUGACAGCUGCUGCAGUUCAUCCUUUAACCACAAAGAGUGCCAAACGUAAUUCCGAGAACCCUAAAAAUGAAACAAGCAUACUAAAAAAAUGCUUUUCUUUCUGCAGAACUUUAGGAGUCUCCUGUCCAACUCUGCUUGUGUUGUCAUGUUGCAGGAGAGGUCUGGGGUGACUGCGUCUCAGGAAUUUCUCUGCAACCCCCCCAGCCACCCCAUUGUUGUGAGGCAGUUGGUCGAGGUGUGGCUCCUCUGCUGAAUUACAGUCAUGGACAUCCGUAAAUGACAAGAUCAAAUCACCCACGAGUGAAGCAGAGGAGGAGACAUCGUCUUGGCGUGAAUGUGUUUGAAAGUGUUAGAAAAUUAAAAAAAAAA